GACCGUGCACGCGUCAUCCAGCCUGCCGGCGGCGGAUCCGUUCGUCGUUCGGCCAAGUCCUUGACAACCUCUUCUCUUCGGAGUGGGGGCUCGAGGUAAAAGAACCCACGACGCCUAAGGCGUCAAGGAACACUGUGCCUAGCCCGGGGACGCGGACRGCUUGCUGCCUGCCCCCCGUGCUGCAACGCUAUUUAAUCCACACGACUCUCGGCAACGGAUAUCUCGGCUCUCGCAUCGAUGAAGAACGUAGCGAAAUGCGAUACCUGGUGUGAAUUGCAGAAUCCCGCGAACCAUCGAGUCUUUGAACGCAAGUUGCGCCCGAGGCCAUUCGGCCGAGGGCACGCCUGCCUGGGCGUCACGCAAAACACGCUCCCACCCCCUCAUCGGGGGACCGGGACGCGGCAUCUGGCCCCCCGUCGCGCAAGGGGCGGUGGGCCGAAGAUAUGGCUGCCGGCGCAUCGUGCCGGACACAGCGCGUGGUGGGCGACCUCGCUUUACUUACCGCAGUGCAUCCGGUGCGUAGCCGGCGUGAUGGCCUCGAAGGACCCUAUGAACGGUGCGCACGACGCUCCGACC
This 576-nucleotide unclassified non-coding RNA is filed under the name Triplachne nitens. RNAcentral's name for it is "sequence contains ITS1, 5.8S rRNA gene, ITS2". Lineage: Eukaryota; Viridiplantae; Streptophyta; Magnoliopsida; Poales; Poaceae. The record is from RNAcentral.